CUGAGCGCCCCACCCACCCCUGACCUUCCCAGGCCCCUCCUCUAACCCCGCCUCUUCCCGAGAUGGGACCCCCAAACACUCCCCAGGGGGCUCUCUACACACCCCAGGAGUUCUAUUUGUGCCACCAGAGUGCAGGCUCACCCAACUGGUGACUUUUUUCGAACUCCCUUCCUCGCCUGGAAGAGACCUUCUUUGGCUACCCGCCCCCUGCCCGGUGGCUCCUACGUGGCUACUUUGCAGGAUGGGCUGUAUAAAGGGCUGGAGGCAGUUCAACCCAAACCAGAGACGUGGCGUCUGUUAGGCCUGCCUAAACUCCAGUACCUGACUAAAGUCCAGAGAAUGGAGCAGGGAGGAGCUGAAGAGAGCGUGGCUUCAAGACAUGAAGACAGAGCUGUGGACCACAGUUGGCUUUCCUGGGAACACUCCCUAACUGUGGUCUAUAAGAUGUAACAAGACUAUUACUCAAUUAUUACAAAGAAGAAAAAAAAAAACAGUGCUGGCCUCUUUACAUUGUGUUUUCCUGUAGAUGAGCCUGGCAUAUGUUACAGUAACCAUUCCAUAGUUUAUUUUCCCCUCUGGUUCCCAUGAUUGUCUGACCCUGCCCAUUUUACCACGCCUAUACACUGGCACAGAGAAAGGAAGUUUGAUGUCUCUGUAGCAUUGCUCGGUGCUGCUCCGGUUUUAUGUACUCUGUAGUACUCAGAAGACCCACAGUUGCAGUUACAGGUUACACCAUGAUGUCUAUCAUGGAUGUUGUCACAGAGGAUGGCUUUUAAACUAGAGGGGAUGCAGAUUGCACAGACUUUCAGUGCCUCCUGUGGUCUCUCAGGAUUCACCAAAGCCCCUUUAAGGUUGUUCCUUUGCCCCCCCCCCCCCCGGCCCCCCAACAAAGCUCUCUGGUCUUAAAUGCCCUCUUCCUGAGUGGUGUUAAGGAGACUAGAUGUGUUUUAAAAAGAACACUGUAGGAGCUUAGACUCUCACAUCUUACACCCAUAAGAAGGAGCACAAUUGGAUAUGAUACAAAGUGCAGGUUCUCCAUCCUUAAGGUAAAUUUCUAGGCUGCUAGGAUGUGUGAAAGAGCCUCAAGCACGGCCCUCUCUACAGACUAAUGUCUUAUCUAGGGUCUGGCUUGGCUUCCCAGGGCUGAUCAGAGAAAUGUGACAAUGGACUCUGUCCCUGGUUAUUCCUGAUGGUUGACAUAGACUGAUCUACCUUCACCCACCCCAAGUGAGUUCUGCUUUUCUGUGACCUUUGAAAUUCAACCCACACUAAGAAUCGCAUUCUUUCACUUCAAGGCCACAUCCAAAGAAGGAGCUCAGUUAAGUGUCCAGGCCUCAGCAGUAAAUAUCUUCAGGAUGUACCCAGACACACACUCUAGAAGAUGAGCCUGUGCUCUGUAACAGGGUGGGGUUCACUUUCUAAAGUUUUCUUCUUCCUUGACAUGGUCAGUGACUCUUCAAGCUUCCAUCGGGACAUCACAUUUUACUUAACCUGCAUUUCCAGAAAUUAAAGCAUUCUAGAAAUCUACAAGCGUUUUGGCUCAUCGUGUGUGUGUGUGUGGGGGGGGGGGGUUAGAUUUCUAGAUAUGGUUUUUUGGCAACCUAAUUUCCUUAAGAUAAAACGGGUGCACUCAAAGCAGUUCAAGUUGUCUUUUAGAAAUAUGGAAUGGGAAGAAGAAAAAUGCUAAGUUUAAACGACUCUUGGAAUAUCUUCAGGAAAGGCAUAUGGCUUCUGGCAUGAAGAUAGAGUAUCCUUAGGGUUUCCUCGGAGUUAUUUUCUGACAUUGAGACUCAUAUAUGUCUUGGGUGUUUAUAAGCAAAGAGUAGCUGUACUUAUUUUUAAAAAGAUAUUCUGUACUUAUUAACUAAUGUCUUCUACCUUCCUCUGUCUUUGAGAAAUGGAGCCUUGAGGUGACAUGAAUACUUCCAGAAGUACAUCUAAGAAUUGUAUUUAGAUUUUGAAGCACCGUUUUCCUGCCUUUCGUUUAUUUCAAUAUUUACCAACUAAAUUUAGCAUAAUGACAUUGAAUUCAAUAAAAU
Mus spicilegus (steppe mouse) is the source of this 2039-nucleotide long non-coding RNA. Lineage: Eukaryota; Metazoa; Chordata; Mammalia; Rodentia; Muridae. The record is from Ensembl.